GAUCAUGGCUCAAGAACGAACGCUGGCGGCAUGCCUAACACAUGCAAGUCGAACGAGACCUUCGGGGUCUAGUGGCGCGCGGGUGCGUAACGCGUGGGAACCUGCCUUUAGGUUCGGAAUAACUCAGAGAAAUUUGAGCUAAUACCGGAUAAUGUCUUCGGACCAAAGAUUUAUCGCCUUUAGAUGGGCCCGCGUUGGAUUAGCUAGUUGGUGGGGUAAAGGCCUACCAAGGCGACGAUCCAUAGCUGGUCUGAGAGGAUGAUCAGCCACACUGGGGACUGAGACACGGCCCAGACUCCUACGGGAGGCAGCAGUGGGGAAUAUUGGACAAUGGGCGAAAGCCUGAUCCAGCAAUGCCGCGUGAGUGAUGAAGGCCUUAGGGUUGUAAAGCUCUUUUACCCGAGAUGAUAAUGACAGUAUCGGGGGAAUAAGCUCCGGCUAACUCCGUG
Molecule: ribosomal RNA, 449 nt
Filed under: uncultured bacterium
Lineage: Bacteria
Description: bacterial SSU rRNA
Rfam family: Bacterial small subunit ribosomal RNA
Source: RNAcentral